Molecule: ribosomal RNA, 373 nt
Filed under: uncultured bacterium
Lineage: Bacteria
Description: partial 16S ribosomal RNA
Rfam family: Bacterial small subunit ribosomal RNA
Source: RNAcentral
CCUACUGGUGGCAGCAGUGAGGAAUAUUGGUCAAUGGACGCAAGUCUGAACCAGCCAUGCCGCGUGCAGGAUGACGGCUCUAUGAGUUUUAAACUGCUUUUUUACGAGGGUAAACCCCGAUACGUGUAUCGGGUUGAAAGUAUCGUACGAAUAAGGAUCGGCCAACUCCGUGCCAGCAGCCGCGGUAAUACGGCGGAUCCGAUCGUUAUCCGGAUUUAUUGGGGUUAAAGGGUCCGUAGGCGGGUUGAUAAGUUAGAGGUGAAAUGUCGGGGCUCAACCCCGAUGCUGCAUUUGAUACUGUUAGACUAGAGAAUAGUUGCGGUAGGCGGAAUGUAUGGUGUAGCGGUGAAAUGCGUAGAGAUCAGAAGGAACA